GCUGUUGUAGCUUAAACCUAAAGCGUAACACUGAAGAUGUUACAAUGGAUUAUAGGAAAUUCCAAGAGCA
Molecule: transfer RNA, 70 nt
Filed under: Syngnathus acus (greater pipefish)
Lineage: Eukaryota; Metazoa; Chordata; Actinopteri; Syngnathiformes; Syngnathidae
Description: tRNA-Phe
Rfam family: tRNA
About the family: Transfer RNA (tRNA) molecules are approximately 80 nucleotides in length. Their secondary structure includes four short double-helical elements and three loops (D, anti-codon, and T loops).
Source: RNAcentral